AGUGACAGUUCUUGCUUGGCUUUAUUAGUUUGCAGAGGAAUCGUCCAGGAGCCCCAGCCGGAUGAGAAUGUCAGAAGUGGACCUGAGCAGCCUGGACAUCCUUCUAAGGAAACAAGAAUUGUCCUCAGGUUUCUGCAUUCUGCAUAACUGGCUUACCAAGCAAUAAGACGUCGCAUGUCAAAGUUUACUGCCCCUAUGAGUGAGAGUGACGAGACUGCGAGCGUUGUUGGUGCCAGGCAGGAGCCAUCCAUCUGGGAGCAGAACAGCUGCUACUAUCACUGAGAUAAGUAUCUGUUUUGCUGAGGGUUCUGCUCACGGCCCACCUGGCUACAGGUAGAGGCACCCCGUUAGGUGGAGUGGGUUUGUAAGAAAAGGUUCCUGACUAGCUGUGGUUUUGAGGGAGACACGGUCCCCAUUUUCAGGGGCUGAUCAUUUCUCUGGCCAGGGUCGGUGUGUCCUCGGCAGGAGAAGCUUAGAUCCAUGAGGAUGACUCCAAGUGAGGAAUUGUCCAGGAGCAGCAGCUGAAGGAGAAAGUGGCAGAGGCGGAUCUGAGGAGCCUGGACAUCCUUCUAAGCAGACAUGAAUGGUCCUCAGAUUUCUGCCUCCCGCACAACUGGCUGUGAGUGCUUGGAAUCCCUCAUCUGUACUGGCUCCGGUUUUGUUCAGAGGCUCUGAAUUUCCUCAUUGGACACGGUGCUCUGUGGGAUUCAGACGAGGCAAAGGCACAAGUCUCCUGUGCAGAUGCUGGGUUUAGUACCAAGUGCAGAGUCAGAGUCCACUCCGCACAUGCCAUGGAAAGGGAGCGAGAGCUGGGAGAUUCUAAGCAUUGUUGAUGCCAGGGAAGAGCCAACCAGCUGGGAGUGGAGCAAGGACCACUGUCAGUGAGAUAAGUGUUUUGUUAGGUGAAGGCUCUGCUGUGGUUACGAGGGAGACAAGGUCCCUAUUUUCAGGGGCUGCUCAGUCCUCUGGCCAGUACCGGUGUGUCCUCUGCAGCGGAAGGUUGGAUCCAGGAGGAUGACUCCAGGUGACAAGUUGCUUGCCUUCCUCCCGUGUUUCUCAUUUUCUUGCUCUCUGUCUCUCUAGUGUGUUGGCCAACGCUCUCUCUUAAUCUGUCCUUUCCUUUCCUUGUGCCAUCUCCCUUCUUAGGACACAGGCAGGCCUGCGAGAUGUGCAUCUCCACAGGUUAGGUCUUGAAAGCCCUGGAGUAGUAGGAGGGGACGAAAACCAUGCGGGGUAGUGGGUGCGAGAGUGGAGCAGUGACUGUCAGUGUUGAAUCGGUCUCUGUUCAAGUGGGACUGAUGUAGAUGGGAUGGAAGAGGGAGGCAGGAUUGAG
This is a long non-coding RNA of Mauremys mutica (yellowpond turtle), 1333 nucleotides long. RefSeq lists it as uncharacterized. The record is from RefSeq and is a predicted model, not a curated record. The transcript has 4 exons. NCBI's taxonomy places the organism in Eukaryota, Metazoa, Chordata, Testudines, Geoemydidae.